Molecule: ribosomal RNA, 2044 nt
Filed under: uncultured Brevibacillus sp.
Lineage: Bacteria; Bacillati; Bacillota; Bacilli; Caryophanales; Paenibacillaceae
Description: partial 16S ribosomal RNA
Rfam family: Bacterial small subunit ribosomal RNA (bases 740-2044)
Source: RNAcentral
AGUUCUUAAAGGGUAGAGUGUUACAUGCAGUCGAGCGAGGCUCUUCGGACCCUAGCGGCGGACGGGUGAGUAACACGUAGGCAACCUGCCUCUCAGACUGGGAUAACAUAGGGAAACUUAUGCUAAUACCGGAUAGGUUUUUGGAUCGCAUGAUCCAAAAAGGAAAGAUGGCUUCGGCUAUCACUGGGAGAUGGGCCUGCGGCGCAUUAGCUAGUUGGUGGGGUAACGGCCUACCAAGGCGACGAUGCGUAGCCGACCUGAGAGGGUGACCGGCCACACUGGGACUGAGACACGGCCCAGACUCCUACGGGAGGCAGCAGUAGGGAAUUUUCCACAAUGGACGAAAGUCUGAUGGAGCAACGCCGCGUGAACGAUGAAGGUCUUCGGAUUGUAAAGUUCUGUUGUCAGGGACGAACAAGUACCGUUCGAACAGGGCGGUACCUUGACGGUACCUGACGAGAAAGCCACGGCUAACUACGUGCCAGCAGCCGCGGUAAUACGUAGGUGGCAAGCGUUGUCCGGAUUUAUUGGGCGUAAAGCGCGCGCAGGCGGCUAUGUAAGUCUGGUGUUAAAGCCCGGGGCUCAACCCCGGUUCGCAUCGGAAACUGUGUAGCUUGAGUGCAGAAGAGGAAAGCGGUAUUCCACGUGUAGCGGUGAAAUGCGUAGAGAUGUGGAGGAACACCAGUGGCGAAGGCGGCUUUCUGGUCUGUAACUGACGCUGAGGCGCGAAAGCGUGGGGAGCAAACAGGAUUAGAUACCCAGUUCUUAAAGGGUAGAGUGUUACAUGCAGUCGAGCGAGGCUCUUCGGACCCUAGCGGCGGACGGGUGAGUAACACGUAGGCAACCUGCCUCUCAGACUGGGAUAACAUAGGGAAACUUAUGCUAAUACCGGAUAGGUUUUUGGAUCGCAUGAUCCAAAAAGGAAAGAUGGCUUCGGCUAUCACUGGGAGAUGGGCCUGCGGCGCAUUAGCUAGUUGGUGGGGUAACGGCCUACCAAGGCGACGAUGCGUAGCCGACCUGAGAGGGUGACCGGCCACACUGGGACUGAGACACGGCCCAGACUCCUACGGGAGGCAGCAGUAGGGAAUUUUCCACAAUGGACGAAAGUCUGAUGGAGCAACGCCGCGUGAACGAUGAAGGUCUUCGGAUUGUAAAGUUCUGUUGUCAGGGACGAACAAGUACCGUUCGAACAGGGCGGUACCUUGACGGUACCUGACGAGAAAGCCACGGCUAACUACGUGCCAGCAGCCGCGGUAAUACGUAGGUGGCAAGCGUUGUCCGGAUUUAUUGGGCGUAAAGCGCGCGCAGGCGGCUAUGUAAGUCUGGUGUUAAAGCCCGGGGCUCAACCCCGGUUCGCAUCGGAAACUGUGUAGCUUGAGUGCAGAAGAGGAAAGCGGUAUUCCACGUGUAGCGGUGAAAUGCGUAGAGAUGUGGAGGAACACCAGUGGCGAAGGCGGCUUUCUGGUCUGUAACUGACGCUGAGGCGCGAAAGCGUGGGGAGCAAACAGGAUUAGAUACCCAAUACGUUCCCGGGCCUUGUACACACCGCCCGUCACACCACGGGAGUUUGCAACACCCGAAGUCGGUGAGGUAACCGCAAGGAGCCAGCCGCCGAAGGUGGGGUAGAUGACUGGGGUGAAGUCGUACAAGGGUUAACCGAGUUGCCAGCAUUCAGUUGGGCACUCUAGAGAGACUGCCGUCGACAAGACGGAGGAAGGCGGGGAUGACGUCAAAUCAUCAUGCCCCUUAUGACCUGGGCUACACACGUGCUACAAUGGUUGGUACAACGGGAUGCUACCUCGCGAGAGGACGCCGAUCUCUUAAAACCAAUCUCAGUUCGGAUUGUAGGCUGCAACUCGCCUACAUGAAGUCGGAAUCGCUAGUAAUCGCGGAUCAGCAUGCCGCGGUGAAUACAUUCCCGGGCCUUGUACACACCGCCCGUCACACCACGGAGUUUGCAACACCCGAAGUCGUGAGGUAACCGCAGGGACCAGCCGCCCAAAGUGGGGUAGAUGACUGGGGUGAAUUCUACAAAGGUAGCCGG